RNAcentral lists this ribosomal RNA (495 nucleotides) under uncultured bacterium. RNAcentral's name for it is "partial 16S ribosomal RNA". It matches the Rfam family "Bacterial small subunit ribosomal RNA", at positions 28 to 507 of the family's 1533-position model. The record is from RNAcentral.
GACGAACGCUGGCGGCGUGCCUAAUACAUGCAAGUAGAACGCUGAAGGAGGAGCUUGCCUCUCUGGAUGAGUUGCGAACGGGUGAGUAACGCGUAGGUAACCUGCCUGGUAGCGGGGGAUAACUAUUGGAAACGAUAGCUAAUACCGCAUAAUAGUAGAUGUUGCAUGACAUUUGCUUAAAAGGUGCAAUUGCAUCACUACCAGAUGGACCUGCGUUGUAUUAGCUAGUUGGUGAGGUAACGGCUCACCAAGGCAACGAUACAUAGCCGACCUGAGAGGGGGAUCGGCCACACUGGGACUGAGACACGGCCCAGACUCCUACGGGAGGCAGCAGUAGGGAAUCUUCGGCAAUGGACGGAAGUCUGACCGAGCAACGCCGCGUGAGUGAAGAAGGUUUUCGGAUCGUAAAGCUCUGUUGUAAGAGAAGAACGAGUGUGAGAGUGGAAAGUUCACACUGUGACGGUAUCUUACCAGAAAGGGACGGCUAACUACGUG